AUCAGUGAUCUAGUAAAGAAGCAGAGCUGAGGGAGGAUGGAGGACACUGUACAAGGAGACGUCUCUGGUCCUUGUAAAGACCUAAUUUUUGUGACCUUCCAACUCCUUUGGUGCUAAAGGAAAAGAAGUUCAAGCAAGAGAUAUACGGACUCAUAUUUGGUUCAAAGAACAGCUUUUAUUAGGGAAAUCAAGCUAGUAUUCAAAAUGACCUAUAGCCAAAUGGGAAAUGAAUGGAUAUUUGGAGCUCCCCCAGCCCCUAGAGCACAGCAGGCGACCUCCGACUUUGCUGAGCAACUGAAUGAACACUGAGAUUGGCUAUGGCUUCAUGUUGUCACUAAUGUCAUGAUUCUGGGUGUAGGUACCUGCAGCAUGGUGAUUUUAUUCGUCAGAAGGGUCUCUGAAAUCCAAGAGAGAAUGAUGUGGGAAUUUGCAGGAUGGGGUCAGCCCACAGGGAUACUGCCCAGCUCCAUUCUGAGCUUCCAAAGUCUCUUCCAUCUACCUCCUCCCUAGACCGACUCACACCCUCCAGCGGGAGCAUCUGAUCCAGCAAGAAGCUGGAUCUUCAAGGCUUGGUUAAAACAGAUCACCACCGCUCUGAGUGUGCAGGUAUGUUUCUGAAAGGACAGGCUUGGUGGAUAGAACAUGUAGUCAGAGUUUCUUGAAUACUAGUGUUCAGAAAAUACUGGGAGACAUUAAUUUUGUUUUUUCCCUUUUCCUUCCAUGCAGGUGGGUGGCAAGUCUGGUGUUUGAUUGCCUCAGGGAAGGAAUGUGUCAGGGCUGAAGACAGAAGUAUCCCCCAAGAUUUCUGUUCUGAGAACCUAAACUGGUUGAGGAUAGGUUUGUGGGAGAAGAGCGAGUGGCUUGGAAGACUCUGGAAAGAAAGAGAGGGGCUUCUCUCUAAGAAAAAUUGAUUAUCCCUGGGCUGGGGUAGGAGAGGGAGGCCAGUGGGUCCCUGGAGUAGUGGGAAGGCAGAGGCCACCCACGGAGGAAAUAGGUAUGGCAGUGCAUCCGUGGGCAUAGACUGUAGGCACUGGGUUCCCAGCCUGCUGCACAGUCCUGUGUCCCAGCUCUGGGUGGAAGCUGCAGGGAGAACUCAGAGCUGAGAAGAAAGAAACCAGUGGAACUCUCAGGGGCGAUCCAUGACAGAAGAUUCUGUCCCCAUGCCUGGGUGCCGCCUAAGACCCCAGAUCCUUGACUAUAUAGCCUGGGUUGCGCCGAGGGAGGCCCUGACAAAAUGAGGUGGAAGGUCCUGUAGUUCUGUGAAGUUCCAAAUGGGAAAUGGGGUUGGUUAUUGAAAGUGGAGAGGCAUAACCUUUCUUGCGCCCCUGACUUUUGAGACACUCUAUAUUUAGCGUUGGUGGGCUGAGAACCCAGAGAAAGAGGAAGUGGUUGGUGAGCACGAGGACAGGACAGCGUUCCGGCUGACCAAGGGGGCGGCCUUGAGCCUGUCCUUGGUUCCCAGGUGUCCUUGAGGAGGUCUAGAGCACUUGAUUCCGCCAGGCUUCUGUAUUCACAGUUAAAGAAGUAAUCCAUGCCUAAUGAUGCCAUAAACACCAUCACACCUUCUUUUGUGUAAAUAAUGUCUGAUAAAAUGAGGUGUGAGCCUGCUGCUGCAAAGAACACUUAGCUGUUAAAUGCUUUCCUUUCCACUCCAUUGACUUUCCCUAUUUAUAGCUAUUCCAGCCAAGCAGUUCCUGUCAUAUUCAUUUCCUGCCAGCUGCUAGUUUCCUCAUCUUAGGGAAACACAGAGGUGCCUCCCCAGCACCACCCAGUUGCCGUGGCACUAGCCUCUGCUUGGUUCAGGAGUCGACAGAGAAAAUGCAGUGUGUGGUCUUGUCUGGCUUCCUCUCUGGACUUGGCCCAGAAGCUUUUUUUUAUCAGCUGAGACAGUAACAGUUCCUUGACCUGGGUUUAUCUGCUGGUGUAGAACCUUGUAGAGAGCUGCCUGGAGAAAUGUCUUCCUGGUGGUGAAAGACCAUCUUCCUGGUGACAUGGUGACAUGUGGCUCUGUCCUUGGCCUCGGACACUGUGGCCCUGGCUGACCCGGGACCUGAGACGGGCAGCAGAAAGUCAGUCCUUGUCUCUAUGACUCUGAAGUUCCUCUUAUCAAGGGGCACUUCACUCUGGAAACGGGGCUGGCCUUCCUGCUACGGAAGUGAUGAUGUAUCAGCUCUGAGCCCAGGCCUCAGGAGCUCUUGGAAGCUUUCCUCCACCCCUUGGAACCCUGCCAUGGCCAUGUGAAGUAGCCCAGGCUGGCCUGCUGGACAAUGAGAAACCCCAUGGAGUAGAGCUGAAGACCCCAGUGACUGCAGAUAACACAAGAGCAGCCGGUGAUGGCCCAGAACAGCACAGCCAGCCCAGGGACUCAUGAGUGACAGGACCUGAAAGCACGGGGCCAGCCAAGCACCUAUCGUUCUUCAUGGUGUAUUAAACUCCAUGGCAGCAAAGGGCUAGCAGGGAUUGGCUUUCUGAUCAUGCCAGAGGCAAGAAGAGAGGUGGACAGUGAUGCUGGGAAACCAGCUGCUCAAGUAUCAUCCAGGCCUCCAAUAUCCAUAGCCGAAUGUAUGGUUGAGUCAACGAUACUUCUGUAGGGUCCAAGGUCUGCCCAAGCUCUACAAUUCUGGAUUCUUGUCCAGGCUAUGCUGUAGAAUGGCCCAGCUCUGCAAGUCACUUCUGGAAGGCACUCAGGAUGCCCAGCAGGAUGAGCUAGUGGACACUCUUAAACCCCUUAGGCCCACCCGUUCUUGUUGCCAGGUCUCUGCUGUUCUUUCUGCCUGGAGCACUUUCCCCUGGCUCUCUCCAUGGCUCAGUCCUUCUCAUCCUCAGGUCUCUGUUCCAAUGCCAUCACUCUCAAAUGUCACUCUCUGUACUGCCUGGUUUAUUUCCCUCAAAGCUCUAAGCACAAUCUGUAAUGAUCUUGCAUAUCUGUUUAUCUAUUGCCUUUCCCCCAGUUAGUCCGCAAACCUCAUCAGGAAGGAUGGUAUGUCCUUGCUGACUGAGGUAUUUUCAGUCCUUGUCACUGUGUCAUUCCAUCACAGGCAGCCAAAAAAGAAUGACUCAUGUUUGUCAAAUGAAUAAUAUGGGAAUAAAUCCAGAAGACCCAGUUUCCUGGAGGAAAUGCAGCAGCCUGAGCUCUUUAGAAAGGGUUUCCCGAGGUGCAGUCACAUAUCACCUGUGGUGUGCAAGUGAACCAUGGGUGGAACUUACACUUUUUUACAGUUAUCUGUUUAUUUUAACAUAUUUUAGAAAAUUGGAACUAAGAAAUCACCUUUAUUUAUCAGAUUUUAUUGCUUAAGAUGAAGCUUAGAUAUGUACUGAGCAUAGAAAAUGUGAAUUGAUCUAAAGACAACUGCUUAGUAGGUAAUAGCACAAAUAGUACAUGAGUAUGGAAAAAAGGUGAUUCUUCAGUGACUGAAGUUUGGGAGCCUCUGGUUCAAAACAAUGUUGGUAUGGCCAAAGGGAAUCCAGUCCAUAAUGUAGGCAUAUACUUAUUCAAUGAAUAGUUAUUAAGCAUCUACUGUUUUCCAGCCAUUGUGCUAGGCACUAAGGUCAUGGCUCUAAAUAGAUACAGCACUUGCCCUCCUGGAACCUCUGAUCUGGUGAAGGAGAUAAUGGACAAAUAAAUACAUCAUUACAGGGUGGGGUGAGGGGAAAGGAGAACAAGUGUAGUGAGGGAAUUGAGGGGGCACCUGAGCAGAAGAUCAAGAAGUGAGCACAGGCUUGCAUGCCAAGACCACAGGAUGACAUGGGAAGAUAACAGGAUAAGAAAAAACUGGGUAUGGAUGAGGCAGGAUGGUACUGCAGAGACUCUUAAGAAUACAUCUGUAAGUUACACUGACAGCAAGAAAGAGUAGAAUUAGGGAUGUAGAAAUUAAAAAUCAGAAAAAACUUGAGCCGGGUCUUGGGCAUCUCAAGUAAAUGUCCAUGAGAUUGAGCUGAUGAGUAAGAAGGUGCCUGGAAGCCAGAGUCAGUGUUCAGUUGGUGAUGCUACUGAAGAAGGGACCCGAAACAAAGUGGACAGAGCUAUAGGCCAAGCUCUCAUUAAAGAGACAUUUCCAGAGAUGAAAGAUGGCUAUGUGGGCAGAUCAAAGGCUAGCUUAGUCCUUACAAAAUAAAGCCCACAUCAGGAAUUCACCCAUCCAUCCACCCAUCAUCUAUUUAUACAAACAUGAAUCAUUUAAAAUUAUGCAGAAAAUGCAAAAGUUCCAUAUUAUAGAUACCCAGGAUGAAUAAAGCAGCCUUUUCUACCAAUUCAAGCCAAACAAGGACUUUGUAGCAGCAUGAAGUGCUAGAAAACCACAGGUCAUCAUCCAGAAUUCUGCAGGAAAAAAUUUGGGACUCCCAAUACUUAGUAUUUAGCCAAUCUAUGUGAAGGAUUAAAAGACGUGCAACAGACUGAAAGGGAUUCCACCUCCCUCUUUAAAAAGUUCCUUGGAAAUGAUAGCAAGGACCUAAGAGACGGUGUGAAAGACCUCAGGGAGGGAGAAAUUGUGCCGAAAAGGACAGUGACUGGGAUUGAACAAAGGGCUGAGUCCAGAUAACUAAUAAAUUAGCUUCAAACAUCCACAUUUUUCUUUAUGAAGAUAUAACAAUUAAUAAUGUAUACUUCAAUAAAGUUUUAAAAAAUGAAUAAUUUGAUAAAUUAAAUCCAAAAUCCCAGAUUAAAUUAACAAAGACAGAGGAGUUGGUAAUAUAGAGGAAGAAGGGGUGGGAAGGAGCAUAGUAAAAGCACAGGAAAUUCUUUCCCACAGGGAACUGCCUACUCAUUUACUCUACUAGAGAAAAGCAAAAUGAAGAAUUAAAAACAGGACAGAUAGCUUUCAAAAUGCAGAAAAUAAAAAAGCAAAGAAAAUGCAGCUCCUACAACAAAAGGGAUGGGAAAGGAAAAGCAGGAAGAAAAUCACCAAAAUUGUAGAGCAAGGUGACAGAAGCAUGGAAGUAGGACUGACUGUGUUACUAUUGAAAAUCACUGGAAAGAGGCUAGACACUGUAAUUUUAAAAAAUGACUACGAUAAAGAUUUCUCAUUCUCAAAUAAGACCUAGUCCUAUUCGUGUUUGCAAGGCCACCCCAGAACACAGCGACAGAAACAUUUUAUAUGAAAAUGAAGACGUUCAGAUACAUCACAGGCAGAUGCUGGUCUGAAGAUAUUAAUACCGGAGAGGGUAACUCCAAGGCAAAGGAUCUGAAAUGAAACAAAGUGGAUC
Molecule: long non-coding RNA, 5205 nt
Organism: Manis pentadactyla (Chinese pangolin)
Lineage: Eukaryota; Metazoa; Chordata; Mammalia; Pholidota; Manidae
Exons: 5
Source: RefSeq, a predicted model, not a curated record